Molecule: small RNA, 2882 nt
Filed under: Pan troglodytes (chimpanzee)
Lineage: Eukaryota; Metazoa; Chordata; Mammalia; Primates; Hominidae
Description: retained intron
Source: RNAcentral
UAUUUGUACCAGAGAACUUACCUGAUUCUACCUGCACUUCAGAUGCUUAAGACAUGUCUGUUUUCUCCACUUUCCCCAACCAGAUUGCUGAGAGGGUGGAGCCCCGGUGAGGGAGGCAGCAUGGUGUGGGAGCCUGAAGGCCGUGACUUUGGGACCUGCCAGGGACAGCCGAGUUUUAUCCCCUGCAGUGAACUGUGGGCAAAUCACUUAACCUCUGAGCCUCAGUCUUCCUGUUCACAGGAGAUGGAUAAUCAUACUUAACCUCAGCACAUUGCAAGGAUUAAGUCAGCCAAGGCGUUUAGAAGCAUUUUGUGUGGGGUGGGUUUUAAUAACUUAGUUCCCUCUCAAGGCUUUGCUGCUCUCAAGUCGGGGAGGAGGUUCCUUAUUUCAGGUGCCCUCAUAAGGACUGCUGGGGGAACAAAACGGGUGUAAAGGAAACCAGUGGGCUGGGCGUGGUGGCUCACACCUGUAACCCCAGCACUCUGCGAGGCCCAGGUGGGCAGAUCGAGUGACCAGCCUGAGCAACACAGCAAAACCCCGUCUCUACAAAAAAUACAAAAAUUAGCGAGUCGUGGCGGUGCACACCUGUAGUCCCAGCUACUCAGGAGGCUGAGGUGGGAAGAUCAGUGGAGCCUGGGAGGUCGAGGCUGCAGUGAGUGGAGAUGGCACCACUUGCCCUCCAGCCUGAGCAACAGGGUUAAAAAAAAAAAAAAAAAGAAAACCAGUUUUGGAAAACCAGUGAUGUUUAAUGUUUAGGAAAUCAGUCUUUGGGAGACUUCAUCCAUGAAAUCUCUGCUUGGCCUGGCCAGAAAUUCUCUCUAGUUUAGAUUGACUUGGCACCACUUUGGGGAACUGUCAGUCACAUGCAGACUUACAUCCCCACCACACAAUCAAUUCACUGAUGCAGAGGAGUGAGUUUUGUGUUUCUUCACAUUCCAUGCUUCUGGGCUGGCACUUAGGAACAUGAGAAACUGAAUAAUUGAAUGGAAGAGAGGCAAGACCGCCCUCUAGUUGUAGCGAUACAUUUUGUGUAGUGGCUUUUUAUCUGCUUCGAUGUCUCAGGUCAGAAGUUUUGCUGUAGAGGAAGAGGAGGCUGGUAAGAGCAGGUGGUUUUUAUGAUUCAGUGAUCUGCGCAGUGCUUGCUUCUUGGUGAAAGACAGGGCAGGUCCACAUCCAAUCCUAAGGGGCUGCCAUGUAAAAAGCUCAUCCGCCUGCAGGCUUGGGAAAAAAAACCCUUAACACUUGGAGAGGCUACUGUUGCCUGUGGCUAGGGUGAGUGGAUUGGAAGGCUUAAAAUUACUCUGACUAAUGUAAUAAUUAAUUGGCUUUGAGGCUGGGAGAGGCCCUGAAGUGACUCAUUUUCCAUUUGUUUUUCAGACUCAUCUCCAGCUUUUAUAGCCUUUCAUGAUAACUUUCACUUCUGAAAUUCUUACCUUCCCUUCUUGGACUUUUGAAAUGAUGCUUUCUGUCCCUGAAAAGGGUUGAAGAAUAUUUUUUCUUCCUGGUUUUUUGCUGAGGUAGUGUGGUCAGAGAGAACUGUUAACUUGGUGUUCUUGUAAGGAUUCUCCAAAGGUGUGUUACGAUGUGUUUGAGGUUCUAUUGCACAUAAGAGCGUAACCAGCCCUCAGUGUAGUCUAGAAGAAGAGGCAGACAUAUGAAUACUUGAUAAGCGCUAUUGAUUGAUUGAUUGAUGACAGGCUAGUUUUGUCCUGAUCACUCGCUUCAUUUAUUAGUUUGUUUUUUUUUUUUUUUUGAGACAGAGUCUUGCCCUGUCGCCAGGCUGGAGUGCAGUGGCGCGAUCUCGGCUUGCUACAACCUCCAAUUCUCUGGUUCAAGUGAUUCUCCUGCCUCAGCCUCCUGAGUAGCUGGGAUUACAGGCACCCACCACCACGCCCAGCUAAUUUUUGUAUUUUUAGUAGAGACGGGGUUUCACCAUAUGGGCCAGGAUGGUCUCGAUCUCCUGACCUCGUGAUCUGCCCGCCUCGGCCUCCCAAAGUGCUGGGAUUACAGGUGUGAGCCACCGCGCCCAGCCCGUUUACUAGAUUUUUACUUAACAUAACAUAGAAAUGUGUGUAAUUGUGCUUGCCCGAAAGAGCAGUCCCUGGAGAAAUUCUUAUCCUGAGUAGCUCCCAGGGGAGAAUAUUCAGUAUUUCAGCGCUCCAGAGGGCUUCUCUCUCUUCACACCUCCUCUGUCAUUCUGCUUCCCCCCUUUUCUCUCGGUCUUCCUGAUUGCCCUUUCCCCGUCUCUCUCUCCGUGCUUUUCCCAUCUCUCCGUGCUUUCUCCCCUGUAGCGUUCCUGUACCUCCUGUUUCCUCCCCUGACCUAGAAAACAUAGUUUUAGAGCUGAAAGGGACUGGUUGAGUUCACUGGGCCCAACUCAGUUUCUUUUAAUUAAAUAUUUUAUUUUGGGGUCAUGUAAAUCACAUGCAGUUGUCAUCAGUAAUGCAGAGAGCCCAUGUACCCUCUACCCAGCUUUCCCCAAUAGAAGCAUCUGCAAAACGAUAGUGCAGUGUCACAACCAAGACAUCUGCCAGGAUGCGGUCAAGAUACCCCAAUCCCUGGGGCCUCACGUGCUGCCCUGUGUACCGCCCCUCCCUCCAUAGCCCCUGGCAGCUACUGAUCUGUUCUUCAUCUCCAGAACUUUGUCAUUUCAAGAAUGUUAUGUAAAUGGAAUCAAACAGUAUAUAACCUUUCGGGUUGACUUUUUUCAUUCAGCAUAACCCCCUGAGGUCCAUGCAGAUUGUUGCUGUAUCAGUAAUUCACAGAUAGUUUCAUUGCUGAGUCGUGUUUUAUGACAUGGACGUACCACAGUGUGUUUAACCACUGAAAGACAUCUGGGUCCUUUCCAGUUUUCAGCUGUUAUGAAUAAAGCUCUUAUAAAC